RNAcentral lists this non-coding RNA (20 nucleotides) under Capra hircus (goat). Its record names the gene chi-miR-99b-3p. RNAcentral also lists the same sequence under 1 other name. Lineage: Eukaryota; Metazoa; Chordata; Mammalia; Artiodactyla; Bovidae. The record is from miRBase by way of RNAcentral.
CAAGCUCGUGUCUGUGGGUC